This is a long non-coding RNA of Cavia porcellus (domestic guinea pig), 5358 nucleotides long. RefSeq lists it as uncharacterized. The record is from RefSeq and is a predicted model, not a curated record. The transcript has 3 exons. NCBI's taxonomy places the organism in Eukaryota, Metazoa, Chordata, Mammalia, Rodentia, Caviidae.
AAUAUUCUUUGUCAGUUAACUAUGUAAAUAUUCAUAAACCUUAAUGGAUAUUUUAGUAAAAGUAUAGGAAUAAAAGAAUUAAAAAAAAUUUAAAUUUGAAAAAUUAAGGGAAAAUGAGAAGUAGUAUAAAGGACCUUAUUGAGUAGUAAAAGAAAAUUAAUAGCAUUAAUAAGAGUAACACAAGGAAACAAAGAAGAAAAAAAUACAGAUCAAAGUAAAGGAAAAGAAGAAAAAAAAUUAAAAGGAGAGAAAACAAAACAAAACAAAACACCAACCUUCCCGUAUGAUUAGUGAAGGAAAAGAAAACUCCUGCAUUCUCCCACCACCCCCAUUUUCCUGUAUCUUUAAUUGAAAGGUUUCUCUCCAGGAUGUGCAGUCUCGGAAUGCAGCAAAUCACAGUUUUUGCUGUCUGUCUUUGCACCUGUGGAUUUGUUCCAGAUGCCCUGUUAUCUCUGUACCCAACUGUGGCAACCAUCCCACCUGAGUGCUUGGAUUGAUGAUGUCAGUGCUCCACCCACAUAGAGGUGGAGCCAGAAUGUGAUGUAAUGGCAUGAAGAAGGUGUGUCUUGCUCUUUGCUGGUUCCUGCUUGCUGUUUGCAGCCGCCAUGAACUGCAGCCCAGCCAUGCCCACCUGCCUUGGAGCCAACUGAGUGUGGACUGAAACCUCCAAAAACUCUGAAUGUGCAUUUAAGAAGCAAAGCCUGCUUGGAAGAAGUGAGUCCCUGGGGGUGUGCACAGUACCACAGGAGACACGUCUCUGCUGGCCCUCUUUCCCUGUACUCUGCUUCUCAACUGCCAUGAAGUGAGCAGCUUGCUCUACAAUAUCCUUAUCACAUGACGCGUCUGCUUUGGAGAUAGCUGGCAAUCUCCAACCUCUGAAACCCUGAGCCAAAAGAAACUUCUGCUUCUUAAGUUGCAAGUAUCAGUUGUUUCAUCUCAGCAACUGGAAAAUUGAUGAAUAAACACACACAAAAGAAACUGUAAGGUGCAUAUUUUAAAAGAUGAAUUUAGAAACUAUUCUGUUACUAAUUCUAACUACUGACUGUUAUUAAAUCAGUCAUUCUUUAAUUUAACUGACAUUUACUGAUAAUCCAGUAGGAACCAGGUACUGUGCAAGGAGCGGAACCCUAAGAGUGUACGUGAUCUCAUAGUGUCCCUUUAAUAAUUUAAAAGUAAUUCAAAGGGGAGAAGCAAGCUAAUAAAAGCAAAGUCAUUAAUGUUUUACUGUGAUCUGAUUUUUGCAACUGGUUGAAUUGUAUUCUAUAUUUCAACUAAAGACACACACACACACACACACACACACACACACACACACAAAGCAGUCUGCAUUUCUGGGAGAAUUUAUGCUCAGUAAAGAAAAUUAAAAUGGCAGCUUCCAUGAUUUAUAAUUAAUAGCUUUAGAUCUUUUGAGUUUGUAUCAUUCAUGCAUUGAUAAUAUGGUGUUUAAGUACAUUAUAUGCAACAGUUUAAAAAUAUAUAAGGUAAAAAUGUUCCAGCUAAUGCACAAUUUAUUCAGACAAAUUAUUCAGACAAAUUAAGAAAAAGAAUAACAGUGACAACAAAGCAAUCUUUUGGAGAAAAAAUGAGGUUAGAAAGGAGGACCGGGCACGGCCAGUGUCUGGUGAAGCCUGGGAUAGAACAGCUGCACUUUAAAUGACUAAAGUGACUUUUUGCACAAGGAUAGUGAACAAUUUAAGGAUCAAAUUAUGCAGAAAUGCAGUGAAAGAGAUUUCCUUUUUUUUGGUAUCGGGGACGAAUUCAUGGCUACGCGCUUGCAAGGCAGGUGCUUAUGCCGCUGAGCUAAAUCCCCAACCCCAAAAGAGAUUAUUAAGCAGAACAAAUAGCUAAUUGAAAAAAUCCCUGUGUUAGGGCCACUUUAUCUGUUUAGGCCAAUGACGCUAAAACAGAAGAAGCAAGAUAUGGGUAAAGUCAGGGAACAGGUGAACGGCUGAAUUGUGCAUGGCCUUAUUGGCCAUCAUGGGUAUUUCUGCAUUAGUCUGACAGCCAAGAGACAAGAUAACACUGACAAAUUCUGAGGAGAAAAACAAAAUGCUUAUCAUGGAAAGAUACUAACCAGUUUUUGGGAUGGAGAGCAUUAAGCACAGGGAGAAAAAUCUAAGGUGGGGCACUAAGUGUUAACUGGGUCUUUGUGUAAGUGACUUUGUUUUUCUCCUUUGGAAUGUUUAGAAUCUUUCAUGAAAUGUGCUAUUUUUUCUUGUCACUAAAUCACAGAGCUGGGCUCUGCUACUCCAAGACUAUGUUUAAAUUUGAUUAUAAGACACUAGUAGAUAUGAUGGCUGUAAUAACAUCCUAUCACUGUUAAACAUAAAAGUUGAUGAUAAUUACCACCUCAUUCUCUACAAAACAUGUUUUUGUUGCUUCUGCCGUUAGGAAGGCAAAUGUAUUAGAUUUUGGACAUCACAAUCAAACAUUUUUUUUUGAGUGGUUUUGAAUAUCUUCUGGUCUAUGAUUUGGUAAAGAAAUUAUGCGUAUAGUUUCAUGUCUUAACUCAUGUAUCUAGAAGAUAUAUUUUAGAAAUGGUUAAUCUUGACUAUGUUAAUGUUCAUUUUUAUCUUGUUUUCUGUCAUAAGUGAAUAUGGGUAUAUACAUAAAAAUACAUAUAUGUAAAACAAAGCAUUGAUCCUAGUAAUCUUCUGUUAAAAUUCAAAUAUACAAUUUCAGUUGUUAACAUUAUCAGUGAACAAGGAGAUAGAAUUUUAGGUAUUCAUAAAUGCAUGUCAAUGACACCUGAGAAGGGGAAAUAGGUACUACUAUAGGUUCUCAGAGGAAAUACUUUUGAACUCAAAAGAAUUCUAUACUUGCUUGACCCAGUCUUGAGUUAUCUUCUAUUUUGCCAAAAGAAAUAAGAAGUAAAUGUAAUUAGAGACAAUGAAGAAAAACUUUAAAUAAGAUUUUUACAUUAUUAUCCAUCUGAUAUACCAGGCAAACAAUUUGGAAUUCCAAGGUUACAGAAUCUAAAAUACAAAUAGAAAAUUUAAUGUCUUGUGUUUAUGCAUCUAUGUCAGAGAUCAGGGAAAUAUCAACAUUAUUUCUCUUAUGACUGGAAAUAGCCUCAAAUUUUUCUGGAGAAACAAAAUAAAUGAGGAAAAACACUUCAACCAGCUACCACUGAUUACAGCAAACUUAGUACUGAAAUCCGUUAUCUUUGAUCUAAAUCCUGAUUUUUCAACAUUGACACUGCUUACUUUAUAAGUCAGUUUAUUCUUUGUUGUGAAACCUACUGUAUUUAUUGUAGGAUGUUCUGUGGUGUCUUCCCAUACCACCAGUGGUAAGUACUCCUCCCGUACUCAAUUCCGUGUGACGGUAGCUAAAAUCUCUUUAGAUCUGUCCUUGGUUGAAAGCACUGUUUUAAAGAUAGGUAUGUCUCAGGAGAAAGCCUAGAAAAAAAGUCCCUAAAUUCACCUUUAUGCAAGUUAUAUUAGUUUUCUUAAUCCAGGGAUCAUGUAUCUCAGUUUUUGACUAAUGGAGCCUAAUGAGGUACUGAAUAAAAGAUACUUGGAUAUGAAAAACAGUUGCCACUUUAACAAAGGCUCAGGCUAGUGAUAUUUACGUAAUGUGUGGGUCUUUUGGAUUGGGUGAUGGCAUAUAAUUUUACAGAGCUCCACUUGUAUACCAAUGUCCAUUUAUGGACAUUGUAUCUACAUACCUAUAGUGUCUAUCUCUAGAUAGAUCUUUUCUUUUACAAUGUGUGUGUGUGUGUGUGUGUGUGUGUGUGUGUGUGUCUUUUUCUGAACAGUGUCUCACUAUACAGUUUGGAUUAACCUUGAGCUCAUUUUGUAGCUCACGAUGGUCUUGAACUUGCAAAGAUCCUCCUGCCUUGGCUUUCCAAGUGCUGAAAUUACAGCCAUGGGCCACCAUGCCUGGUGCGACAGAUCUUUACUUUGCUGACUUGAUUUUUAACUUAAACCAUAUAUGUAGUUUCAAAGUUUAAUGUUUUGUAAAGAAAAACUCAACAGAAACUAACAGUAUUUACAAAUCUUAGAAUAUGCUAGAGGUCAAAAGAAAAGAAAAACAUUGAAAUCUAUACAAAUAACGUUGCCUUUUGUUUCAGUUCUUCACUCCCCCCAGUUUAGGAAUAUCUGCUAUUGGGAAAGCUGAAGUCUAACAAAGAAAUGCUCAGAACAAGGUUUCAAUGGAACUUAUAUUUAUCCUCAUUUCAAGAGCCACAUGAUUCUCCCAAAUAUGUAGCUGCUUAUGCAAUCAAUGGUAGUUAGUAUUAAGAAAUUUAUAAUGGGAGAAAAAUUGAAAUUUACUUAAUAGUUUUUAUUAUUUUAGUAACCAUGGUGAUAAAAGACCAAUAUAGCCCUUUAAAAUAGCAUUCAGAGAACUUGGGAGAAAAUUUUAUUUAUUGAGAUGCUUGGUACAUGUAAUAUUGCUGUAUUUGGAUACCAACAUUUUGUUGCUAAUGAGUUUGAAUUUUAACAAGUUGGCAAUUUCCUUUUUCACCUUCAUUUUUCUUUCCAAAACCAUGGGCAGCUCUCUCCCCCCACAAAAAAAGGUAAACGAUUUUACAAAAUGUAGUAGUUCUAAAAAUGGAAAUUCUGCUAAGCAUGGUGGUGCACACCUGUAAUUCUAGCAGUCAUUAGGCUGAGGCCGGAGAAUUGCUGUGAGUUCAAGGCCAGUGAAACUCUCUCUCAAACGGGGAUGGGGUGGGAGGAAAUUCCAAAUAAGUGUUACAGAAAAAGGAGCAAAAAUUAGUUAAUUACCUAAGUAUGUAGAAUUAAAUCAAAUUUGUUUAACUCCUUGAUAAUAAGAAGAUAAAACCCAUAAGACCAUCAAACUGUUUUUGAUACAUUUUAUAAAAUAUAUCAUAAAUACCACAUUAUAUAUUUUAUUACCAAAAUAUUUUGUAAACUUCUUUUGCCUAAAAAUGCUUAAAAAAAGAGAAACAUCACUUUGAAGGAUUCUCCUAUGCUUUUAUAUAUCGGGAAUAUUCAGUUGAGGAAUUUCUCACUAAGAAAAAAUUGUCCCCAGAUUUCUGUUAUUUAAAUGAGGCUGCUUCCCAGGAUUUCACCUGGCAUAAAACUCAGGGAUUUGUGAAGUGAAAAAUCACAAUGCACACUAUGUGACUUCAAAGUGUUUCAAUUAAUAUCUAAUAAAUACACUGUGUGUGUAGACAUGUUUUACAUUGUAUUUAAGUUGCUUUCUCAAGACUAUUUCAACUUCAGAAAAUUUCUAUGAAACAGUAUAUAUGUUUUCCACUAUGUAUGUAAAUAGAAGAAAUAGGUACAAAAAUAAAGUUCACAGAUGAAACUGGCAUAGGGGAAACUAAAACUGGGUUUCUGACUCAGCUCUUUUUCUCUAUGUGACUCUGAGCUCUCUGUCUGUCUCUCUGCC